This 65-nucleotide transfer RNA is filed under the name Dipodomys ordii (Ord's kangaroo rat). It matches the Rfam family "tRNA". Rfam says of the family: Transfer RNA (tRNA) molecules are approximately 80 nucleotides in length. Their secondary structure includes four short double-helical elements and three loops (D, anti-codon, and T loops). Lineage: Eukaryota; Metazoa; Chordata; Mammalia; Rodentia; Heteromyidae. The record is from Rfam by way of RNAcentral.
GGUGGCUCAGUGGUAGAGUGUUUGCCUUGCAUGCAUAAGGCCCUGGGUUCGAUUCCUCAGCACCA